GAUGAAGAACGUAGCGAAAUGCGAUAAGUAGUGUGAAUUGCAGAAUUCAGUGAAUCAUCGAAUCUUUGAACGCACAUUGCGCCCCUUGGUAUUCCAUGGGGCAUGCCUGUUCGAGCGUCAUUUGUACCCUCAAGCUUUGCUUGGUGUUGGGUGUUUGUCCAUUCUCUUGCAGAGGGACUCGCCUUAAAGUAAUUGGCAGCCAGUGUUUUGGUUUUGAAGCGCAGCACAAGUCGCGAUUCAAAGCUAUACGCCCGCUUCCACAAGCCUUUUUCACUUUUGACCUCGGAUCAGGUAGGGAUACCCGCUGAACUUAAGCAUAUCAAUAAGCGGAGGA
Molecule: unclassified non-coding RNA, 334 nt
Filed under: soil metagenome
Description: partial contains 5.8S ribosomal RNA, internal transcribed spacer 2, and large subunit ribosomal RNA
Rfam family: 5.8S ribosomal RNA (bases 1-120)
Source: RNAcentral